RNAcentral lists this ribosomal RNA (497 nucleotides) under uncultured bacterium. Its description in RNAcentral is "partial 16S ribosomal RNA". It matches the Rfam family "Bacterial small subunit ribosomal RNA", at positions 28 to 507 of the family's 1533-position model. The record is from RNAcentral.
GAUGAACGCUGGCGGCGUGCCUAAUACAUGCAAGUCGAGCGAACGGACGAGAAGCUUGCUUCUCUGAUGUUAGCGGCGGACGGGUGAGUAACACGUGGAUAACCUACCUAUAAGACUGGGAUAACUUCGGGAAACCGGAGCUAAUACCGGAUAAUAUUUUGAACCGCAUGGUUCAAAAGUGAAAGACGGUCUUGCUGUCACUUAUAGAUGGAUCCGCGCUGCAUUAGCUAGUUGGUAAGGUAACGGCUUACCAAGGCAACGAUGCAUAGCCGACCUGAGAGGGUGAUCGGCCACACUGGAACUGAGAAACGGUCCAGACUCCUACGGGAGGCAGCAGUAGGGAAUCUUCCGCAAUGGGCGAAAGCCUGACGGAGCAACGCCGCGUGAGUGAUGAAGGUCUUCGGAUCGUAAAACGCUGUUAUUAGGGAAGAACAUAUGUGUAAGUAACUGUGCACAUCUUGACGGUACCUAAUCAGAAAGCCACGGCUAACUACGUG